GGAUAAUCUGCCCCUGCAGCUGGAAUAGCGACUGGAAACGGUCGAUAAUACCGGAUACGCCCUUGUUGAACGAUGAGGGGAAAGGAGACCUCUGCUUGCAAGUUUCCGUGCAGGGAUGAGUCCGCGUCCCAUUAGCUUGUUGGCGGGGUAACGGCCCACCAAGGCGACGAUGGGUAGCCGAUUUGAGAGGAUGAUCGGCCACAUUGGAACUGAAACACGGUCCAAACUCCUACGGGAGGCAGCAGUGGGGAAUAUUGCGCAAUGGGCGAAAGCCUGACGCAGCGACGCCGCGUGAGGGAUGAAGGUCUUCGGAUCGUAAACCUCUGUCGGAAGGGAAAAAGGUGCAGGGUGCCAAUCAGCCCUGCAUUGAUGGUACCUUCAGAGGAAGCACCGGCUAACUCCGUGCCAGCAGCCGCGGUAAUACGGAGGGUGCAAGCGUUAAUCGGAAUUACUGGGCGUAAAGCGCACGUAGGUUGUCCUGUAAGUCAGGGGUGAAAGCCCGCGGCUCAACUGCGGAACUGCCCUUGAUACUGCAGGACUCGGAUCCGGGAGAGGUCAGCGGAAUUCCAGGUGUAGGAGUGAAAUCCGUAGAUAUCUGGAGGAACAUCAGUGGCGAAGGCGGCUGACUGGACCGGCAUUGACGCUG
RNAcentral lists this ribosomal RNA (646 nucleotides) under uncultured rumen bacterium. Its description in RNAcentral is "bacterial SSU rRNA". It matches the Rfam family "Bacterial small subunit ribosomal RNA", at positions 119 to 748 of the family's 1533-position model. The record is from RNAcentral.